This 694-nucleotide ribosomal RNA is filed under the name Chrysogonum virginianum. RNAcentral describes it as "eukaryotic LSU rRNA". The stretch from base 276 to 431 matches the Rfam family "5.8S ribosomal RNA". The record is from RNAcentral. Lineage: Eukaryota; Viridiplantae; Streptophyta; Magnoliopsida; Asterales; Asteraceae.
UGCGGAAGGAUCAUUGUCGAACCCUGCAUAGCAGAAUGACCUGUGAACAAGUAAAAAAAACUGGCAUUGUGAGGAUAGAAGCUUUUGUUUUGAUCCUUGCAAAGCUUUGUCGACGUGUGUUUAUGUUUGCCCUUACAGGGCAUCAUGAAUGUCAGGUUGACACAACAACCCCCCGGCACGAAACGUGCCAAGGAUAACAAAACUCAAAGGGCCUAUGCAAUGUCGCCCUGCUUUGUGGUGUGCGCAUUGUGUGUGGCUACUUUGUGAAUCUAAACGACUCUCGGCAACGGAUAUCUCGGCUCACGCAUCGAUGAAGAACGUAGCAAAAUGCGAUACUUGGUGUGAAUUGCAGAAUCCCGUGAACCAUCGAGUUUUUGAACGCAAGUUGCGCCCGAAGCCAUCCGGUUGAGGGCACGCCUGCCUGGGCGUCACGCAUCACGUCGUCCUCACCAAAAGUCCAUUUGAUUGGUGUUUUGGAUUGGGGGGAUACUGGUCUCCUGUGCUUUUGGCGUGGUUGGCCUAAAAAAGAGUGUUCUCAUAAGGGAUGCACGACUAGUGGUGGUUGAUAAGACAGUCGUCUCGUGUUGUGUUAUCCUUCUUGAGUGAUUAUACUUCUAAAAUACCUUAACGCGUUGUCUUGUGAUGAUGCUUUGAUCGAGACCCCAGGUCAGGCGGGACUACCCGCUGAGUUUAA